RNAcentral lists this ribosomal RNA (512 nucleotides) under uncultured bacterium. RNAcentral's name for it is "bacterial SSU rRNA". It matches the Rfam family "Bacterial small subunit ribosomal RNA", at positions 29 to 518 of the family's 1533-position model. The record is from RNAcentral.
AAUCAACGCUGGCGGCGUGCCUAACACAUGCAAGUCGAACGCGAAAGGGGCUUCGGCCCUGAGUAGAGUGGCAAACGGGUGAGUAACACGUGGGUGACCUGCCUUCGAGUGGGGGAUAACGUUCCGAAAGGAGCGCUAAUACCGCAUGACAUCCUGCCUUUGGAAAGGCGGAGAUCAAAGCCGGGGAUCGCAAGACCUGGCGCUUGGAGAGGGGCCCGCGCCUGAUUAGCUAGUUGGUGGGGUAAUGGCUCACCAAGGCGACGAUCAGUAUCCGGCCUGAGAGGGCGGACGGACACACUGGGACUGAGACACGGCCCAGACUCCUACGGGAGGCAGCAGUGGGGAAUUGUUCGCAAUGGGCGCAAGCCUGACGACGCAACGCCGCGUGGAGGACGAAGAUCUUCGGGUCGUAAACUCCUGUCGAGCGGGAAGAAACCCACGAGGGUGAAUAUCCCUUGUGGCUGACGGUACCGCUAAAGGAAGCCCCGGCUAACUCCGUGCCAGCAGCCGAC